UACGUAGGGUCCAAGCGUUAUCCGGAAUCACUGGGCGUAAAGCGUGCGUAGGUGGCGCGUUAAGUGAGAUGUUAAAUCGUGUGGCUCAACCAUAUCGAUGCAUCUCAUACUGGCGUGCUAGAGGACAGCAGAGGCAAGUGGAAUUUGUAGUGUAGCAGUGAAAUGCGUAGAUAUUACAAGGAACACCAAUGGCGAAGGCAGCUUGCUGGGCUCCUCCUGACACUGAGGUACGAAAGCGUGGGGAGCGAACAGG
RNAcentral lists this ribosomal RNA (253 nucleotides) under uncultured bacterium. Its description in RNAcentral is "partial 16S ribosomal RNA". It matches the Rfam family "Bacterial small subunit ribosomal RNA", at positions 524 to 776 of the family's 1533-position model. The record is from RNAcentral.